GACUGGCUGGUUGCUAGAGGUGCGUGCGGCCACUGCGAACUCGUACUUCUUCCCCUGUACAUGGUGGCAUGCUGGAGAACUUGACAGUCUUGGAUCUCUUUUGCACUGCUGGCGUACCUUGUUUUCUCACGUGAGAUCGGCACCAUCACAGUUCGAAAAUCGACGAAAUUCGAGGUUUUAGCAGGCCGGCGACCAAACAGAGAGGGGACGUCGUGCCACGAAUUCAUUCAUAAAUGAAACUAGAAUCUUUUCUGAAUCGGACAGUGUAAACGGCUCGUCCGAGGUACUCCUACAGACUGACUGGCUGGUUGCUGAAGGUGCGUGCGGCCACUGCGAACUCGUACUUCUUCCCCUGUACAUGGUGGCAUGCUGGAGAACUUGACAGCCUUGCAAGGGAUCUCUUUUGCACUGCUGGCGUACCUUGUUUUCUCACGUGAGAUCGGCACCAUCACAGUUCAAAAGUCGACGAAAUUCGAGGUUUUAGCCGGCCGGCGACCGAACAGAGAGGGGACGUCGUGCCACGAAUUCAUUCAUAGAUGGUAACUCGCAGGCACGACAAAUCUUUUUUUUUUACUGGGACCUCACAAAGUGUUUAGGUUAGCAUAUAUGCAAGCGAAAGAUUUUUAGCAGA
Molecule: long non-coding RNA, 631 nt
Organism: Priapulus caudatus
Lineage: Eukaryota; Metazoa; Priapulida; Priapulimorpha; Priapulimorphida; Priapulidae
Exons: 5
Source: RefSeq, a predicted model, not a curated record